Molecule: long non-coding RNA, 764 nt
Organism: Eriocheir sinensis (Chinese mitten crab)
Lineage: Eukaryota; Metazoa; Arthropoda; Malacostraca; Decapoda; Varunidae
Exons: 2
Source: RefSeq, a predicted model, not a curated record
GAAUAAAUGGAAAUAGAAGGAAAGAUUAUAGAUGGGAGGAAGAGAAGGGAAGGAAAAAGAAGGAAUAGAAGAGGUGGAAACAGGGAAAAAUAAACCAAGAAUACAAAGGAAAACAGGAAAGCGAGGAAGGAAGGAAGGAAGGAAAGGAAAUAGAAGGAAAGAUUAUAGAUGAAAGGAAGAGAAAGGAAGGAAAAAAAAGAAAAAGAAGAGGUGGAAACAGGGAAAAAAGAACCAAGAAUAGAUAGCAAAAUAGAAAAAGAGAGAAAAAGAGAAGGAAAGGAGAUAGAAGGAAAGAUUAUACAUGAAAGGAAGAGAAGGGAAAGGAAAAAGAAGGAAAAGAAGAGGUGGAAACAGGGAAAAAUGAACCAAGAAUACAAAGCAAAACAGGAAAAGGAAGGAAAGAAGAGAGAAAAAGAGAAGGAAAGGAAAUAGAAGGAAAGAUUAUAGAUGGGAGGAAGAGAAGGGAAGGAAAAAGAAGGAAAAGAAGAGGUGGAAACAGGGAAAAUAAACCAAGAAUACAAAGGAAAACAGGAAAGCGAGGAAGGAAGGAAGGAAAGGUGAAGAAAAACAAUCCAAGCCUCCAAUGACCAGCCCGUAACAGACACACACACCUUGGUUUAGAUAUUAACACAACAAUGACACAUGAGUUACAGAGAGCGGACACAUUUAAUAACACAUGAAUUACAGACACGGGGAGAGUGUACGUGUAUGCAAAACACACACACACACACACACACACACACACACACACACACACACACACA